RNAcentral lists this transfer RNA (71 nucleotides) under Loxodonta africana (African savanna elephant). It matches the Rfam family "tRNA". From Rfam's summary of the family: Transfer RNA (tRNA) molecules are approximately 80 nucleotides in length. The record is from Rfam by way of RNAcentral. Lineage: Eukaryota; Metazoa; Chordata; Mammalia; Proboscidea; Elephantidae.
GCAAUGGUGGUUCCAUGGUAAAACUCUUUCCUUCCACGUAGAAGACCUGGGUUCAAUUCCCAGCCAAUGCA